Molecule: ribosomal RNA, 508 nt
Filed under: uncultured bacterium
Lineage: Bacteria
Description: partial 16S ribosomal RNA
Rfam family: Bacterial small subunit ribosomal RNA
Source: RNAcentral
GACGAACGCUGGCGGCGUGCCUAAUACAUGCAAGUCGAACGCUUCUUUCCUCCCGAGUGCUUGCACUCAAUUGGAAAGAGGAGUGGCGGACGGGUGAGUAACACGUGGGUAACCUACCCAUCAGAGGGGGAUAACACUUGGAAACAGGUGCUAAUACCGCAUAACAGUUUAUGCCGCAUGGCAUAAGAGUGAAAGGCGCUUUCGGGUGUCGCUGAUGGAUGGACCCGCGGUGCAUUAGCUAGUUGGUGAGGUAACGGCUCACCAAGGCCACGAUGCAUAGCCGACCUGAGAGGGUGAUCGGCCACACUGGGACUGAGACACGGCCCAGACUCCUACGGGAGGCAGCAGUAGGGAAUCUUCGGCAAUGGACGAAAGUCUGACCGAGCAACGCCGCGUGAGUGAAGAAGGUUUUCGGAUCGUAAAACUCUGUUGUUAGAGAAGAACAAGGACAUUAGUAACUGAACGUCCCCUGACGGUAUCUAACCAGAAAGCCACGGCUAACUACGUG